This 7441-nucleotide long non-coding RNA is filed under the name Homo sapiens (human). RNAcentral describes it as "HSALNT0271585". Lineage: Eukaryota; Metazoa; Chordata; Mammalia; Primates; Hominidae. The record is from RNAcentral.
GGAGCGUGCAGUGAGCCGAGAUAGCACCACUGCAGUCUGGCCUGGGGUGAAAGAGCCAGACUCCAUCUCAAAAAAAAAAAAAAAAAAAGAAUUAUAAUUAAAAAUUAGAGAUGGUAGAGCAACAGAGCUAGAUAGUUAAACCAGAAAUGAAUUUAAGCCAAUUAGAUGUUGUGAUGCACACAAUUGUUACAAUGCCAGAAGAAACAGCCUCCAAAAUAAGCUUUCAGAAUUCCCAGAACACAAAACUCACAGACCCAGUCUGCCAUGAAAUCUUCUGCAUCUGCCAUGGCCAGGAAAAGCUGCAAUCACAACUGUGGCCUCACAGACCACCUUAGUAUUCACAUCAGCAAAACAGAUGCAGAAACCCUAGCACUUAACACCUUUGAAGAUAAAAUCUAGCCUUGAAGGUAAAAUUUAAUGAGACCUAAGUUAAAGCUCACGCUGACAAACACAAAUGUCACCAGCAUCAUUGAUUUCAAGAGAAAAAGCAGAAGCAGCCUGCAUCAACUAUGCUCAUUUUCCCCUUUCAAUUCUCAGGCAUAAAUAUAUGCUUAGCAGAAGUUAUGUCACAGGAAAGUUUUGAGAGACUCUGGAAAAUAUAUCUAGCUUUCUAAAUGAAAUUGCACUAGAGCAUACUAAAGGAGCUUUGGAGACAGUGGGGUAACAUGAUCUUUAUUCCCACAGUACUUUGCAACCAUUGGCCAAUUGGAGUCCCCCCUCCCCACACACAAUUUUCUUCUAAAUUUUCAACUAUAAAUGAACGGUAGCCAUAUUCUCCAACCUAAGAUAAUAUGACCAUACUUAAUAUGAUAAGACUGCUUACUUCCUUCUCUAAAUAAUCAUUAGUCAUUGAAACCAGUUUGACAAGUGUUUAUUUCUCCUCUAUCUCAGUCUAACUAUCUUGUAAUCAAAGAAUGGAAUAUUAAGUUACAUAUUGUACUACCAACAUGCCUCUUAUAAAAUUACAGAGGAAAAAAUUUACACACACAUACACACACACAGAGAGAGACAACAUGUUAUUAAAAGAGUAUGGGUUAAUUCUAUAGCUUUCAUUUAUUGACCUUGUCAUGAAACUAACUGUAUUUGGUAUAUGUAAUUUUUUAAUUGUUCAUUGUAUGUUUUCUUGUCCUUCACCAAUCCCUUAGCUUGUCAUGGUGCUUUUACUGAUGAUGUAACCUGAAAAAUUUUCAAAGAAUUAGAAUCCUUUCAGGUCUUCCCUGCAUGAGGUUCAUAUAAUCAGCUACUAUAUUUUAUCCCUGGACAUACUUACACUGUACUAGGAAGCUCCUAAUGAAUUUCCUGUGUUUCAGAUAUAUUUCUAUACCAACAUUGUAUAAUACCAACCAUAUUUUUCAUUGGAAAUCAGGGGAUCCUACAAAUGUGUCUUUACCAGUAAAUUGCCUUUGCCAUUACCCAAAGAUGGCUACAUGUCUCUCAAAACUAUUGACUCAUAACUGUAGCCAUAGCAGCUGAGGAACAAUCCAUAUCCAUAAAAUAUAUGCAUGAUGUUAUGCUUUUUGGUACUCACAAAACUAGGGACUAGACAUUAAAUCUCUUUCACAUCUGUCACAGUUAAAUAAAACCACAUAAAGAAGUAGUGGAAGUGGGGAAGGGAGAAGGAAGAGACUUUGGUCAAAGGAUACCCAAUUUCAGUUAGAUAAAAGGAUAUAAGUUCAAGAGUUCUCUUAUAUAACAUAGUAUGUGUAGUUAAUAGCAAACACCAUAUUCUUACAAAUUGCUAAGAAAAUAGAUUUUAAGUGCUCUCACUACAAAAAAAUCGUAAGUAUGUCAGGUUAUGUAUGUUAAUUAGCUCAAUUCACCAAUUUUGCAGUAUAUCUAUAUAUAUAUAUAAAACAACAUGUUUUCAAUUUUUUUAUUUGUUGAACUUAUAGAAAACAACAGCAGCCCAAUGGAAGACCAGUCUGACUGUUAAAAGAAAAACAAACAAAUAGAAAACAGCAACAACAACAAAAAGGACCCCACAAAAACCCCAUUCAGAGGUCAGCAACCUCAAAGAAUGAAGGCAGAUAAGCCCACAAAGAUGAGAAAGGAUCAAUGCAACAAUGCAGAAAACUCAUAAGGCAAUGAUGCAGAAAACUCAAAAAGCAGCAAUGUAGAAAACUCGAAGAGCUCCCCCAAAUGACUGCAACACCUCUCCAGCAAGGGCAUAAAACCAAGCUGAGGCUGAAAUGGCUGAAUUGACAAAAGUAGGCUCCAUAAUAUGAGUAAUAAUGAACUUUGCUGAGCUAAAGGAACAUGUUGUAACCCAAUGAAAAGAAGCUAAAAAUCAUGAUAAACAAUAGGGGAACUGAUAGCCAAAAUAGCCAGUUUAGAGAGAAACCCAGCUGAGCUAUUAGAGCUGAAAAAACACAACAAAAGAACUUCACAAUGCAAUCACAAGUAUCAAUAGCAGAAUAAACCAAGUGGAAGAAAGAAACUGAGUUUGAAGACUAUCUUUCUGAAAUAAGACUGGCAGACAAAAAUAGAGAAAAAAGAAUGAAAAGGAAUGAACAAAACUUCCAAGAAAUAUGGGACUAUGUAAAGAGACCAAACCUACGACUGAUUGGGGUACCUGAAAGAGAUGGGGAGAAUGGAACCAAUUGGAAAAUAUACUUCAGGAUACCAUCCAGGAGAACUUCCCCAACCUAGCAAGACUGGCCAACAUUCAAAUUCAGAAACUGCUGAGAACCCCCAGUAAGAUACUCCACAAAAACAUCAACCCCAAGACACACAAUUAUUAGAUUCUCCAAAGUCAAAAUGACAGAAAAAACAAAAACAAAAAAAACAUUAAGGGCAGCCAGAGAGAAAGACCAGGUCACCUACAAAGGGAAGCCCAUCAGACUCACAGCAGACCUCUCAGCAGAAACCCUGCAAGCCAGAAAAGAUUGGGGGCCAAUAUUCGACAUUCUUAAAGAAAAGAAUUUCCAAUCCAGAAUUUCAUAUCCAGCCAAACCGAGCUUCAUAAGCAAGAGAGAAAUAAUAUCCUUUUCAGACAAGCAAAUCCUGAGGGAAUUCAUCACCACCAGGCCUGCCUUGCAAGAGCUCUGAAGGAAGGACUAAAUAUGGAAAGGAUAAACCAUUACGAGCCACUAAAAAAGCACACUGAAGUACACAGAUCAGUGAAACUAUGAAGCAUCCAUAUAACCAGCUAGCAUCAUGAUGACAGGAUCAAAUCACACAGAUCAACAUUACCCUUAAAUGUAAGUGGGUAAAUGCCCCAAUUAAAAGACACAAAUGGCAAGCUGGAUAAAGAGUCAAGAUCCAUUGGUGUGCUGUCUUUAGGAGACCCAUCUCACAUGCAAAGACACACAUAGGCUCAAAAUGGAGGGAUAGCGAAAAUUUACCAAGCAAAUAGAAAACAGAAGAAAAGCAGGGUUUGCAAUCCUAGUUUCUGACAAUCAGACUUUAAAGACAAAGCCCACAUGAUUGUCUCAAUAGAUGCAGAAAAAGCCUUGGAGAAAAUUCAACAUCCCUUCAUGUUAAAAACUCUCAAUAAACUAGGUAUUAAAGAUACAUAACUUAAAAUAAUAAGAGCCAUAUAUGACAAACCCACAGGCAAUAUCAUACUGAAUGGCAAAAGCUGGAAGCAUUUCCCUUGAAAAGCAGCACAAGACAAGGAUGACUUCUCCCACCACUCUUAUUCAACAUAGAAUUGGAAAUUCUGGAUGGGGUAAUCAGGCAAAAGAAAGAAAUAAAGCGUAUUCAGAUAGAAAGAGAGGAAGUCAAAUUAUCUUUGUUUGCAGACAACAUGAUCCUAUAUCUAGAAAAUUUCAAAGUCUCAGCCCUAAAGCUUCUUCAACUGAUAAGCAGCUUUAGCAAAGUCUCAGGUUAGAAAAUCAAUGUGCAAAAAACAAAUCAUGAAUGAACUCCCAUUCACAAUUGUUGCAAAAAGAAUAAAUACCUACAAAUACAGCUAACAACAAAAGUGAAGGACCUCUUCAAUGAGAUCUACAAACCACUGCUUAAAGAAAUCAGAGAAAAUAGAAACAAAUGAGAAACAUUACAUGCUCAUGGAUAGGAAGAAUAAAUAUUGUGAACAUGGCCAUACAGUCCAAAGCAAUUUAUAGAUUCAAUGCUAUUCUCAUUAAGUUGCCAUUGACAUUCUUCACAGAAUUAGAAAGAGUAUUUUAAAAUUCAUGUGGAAUCAAAAAAGAGCCCACAUAGCAAAGAAAAUCCUAAGCAAAAAGAACAAAGCUAGAGGCAUCAUGCUGCCCAACUUCAAACAGUACUACAAGGCUGCAGUAACCAAAACAGCAUGAUACUGGUACAAAAACAGACAUAUAAACCAAUGGAACACUAUAGAGAAUUCAGAAAUAAGGCUGCACACCUAAAACCAUCUGAUCUUUGACAGACCUGGCCAAAACAAGCUAUGGGGAAUGGAUUCCCUAUUUAAUAAAUGAUGUUGGGACAACUGGUUAGUCAUAUGCAGAAAAUUGAAAUUGGACCCCUUCAUAGCAUAGACAAAAAUUAACUCAAGAUGGAUUAAAGACUUAAAUGUAAUACCUAAAACUAGGAAAACCCUAGAAGAAAAUCUGGGCAAUACCAUUCAGGACAUAGGCAUGGGCAAAAAUUUCAUUAUGAAAAUGUAAAAGCAAUUGCAGCGAAAGCAAAAAUAGAUAAAUGAGAUCUAAUGAAACUAAAGAACUUCUGCACAGCAUAAGAAACUAUCAUCAGAGUGAAUGACAUCCUGCAGAGUGGGAGAAAAUUUUUUGCAAUCUAUCCAUCUGACAAAGAUCUAAUAUCCAGAGUCUACAAGGAACUUAAGCAAAUUUAAAGAAAAAAAACUCAUUAAAAAGUGGGCAAAGGACAUGAACAGACACUUCUCAAAAGAAGACAUACAUGUGGCUAAUGAACAUAUAUAAAAAGCUUAACAUCACUGAUCAUUAGAGAAAUGCAAAUCAAAACCACAGUGAGGUACCAUCUCACACCAGUCCGAAUGGUGAGUAUUAAAAAGUCAAGAAACAACAGAUGCAGGUGAGGCUGUGGAGAAAUAGGAACACUUUUACACUGUUGGUGGGAAUAUAAAUUAGUGCAACCGUUGUGUUAGACAGUGUGGCAAUUCCUCCUAGACCUAGAACAGAAAUAUCAUUUGAUGCAGUAAUGCCAUAACUGGGUGUAUACCCAAAGGAACAUAAAGUGUAGUAUUAUAUUAUAUUUAUAUUAUAAAGAUGCAUGCACAUGUAUACUUAUUGCAGCACUAUUCACAAUACAAAAGAUACAGAAUCAACCUAAGUGCCCAAAGUGCGGUAUAAAUACACCAUGGAACAUAAUGCAGCCAUUAAAAGGAAUAAGAUCAUGUCCUUUGCGGGAACAUGGAUGGAGUUGUAGGCCAUUAUCUUCAGCAAACUAAUGCAGGAACAGAAAACCAAACACCGCAUGUUCUCACUUAUAAGUGGGAGCUGAAUGAUGAGAAUGCUUGGACACAGAGAGGAGAACAACACACAGUGGGUCUCGUUGAAGGGGAGGCGUGGGGGAAGGAAGAGCAUCAGGGAGAAUAGCUAAUGGACUCUGGGCUUAAUACCUAGGCGAUGGGAUAAUUUGUGCAGCAAACCAACAUGGCACACAUUUACCUAUGUAACAAAUCUGCACAUCCUGUACAUGUAUCCCUGAACUUAAAAUAAAAUUGAAGAAAAAAGAGAAGCCUUGGAAGUAGAAGAAUCAUAGUCUCCAACUAAGCUUGUUUAAUUAAUGUCACUUUUCAAACCCCAUGCAUGUAUGAAUGUAUGGUAUAAUAUUAAAGAAACCAAGCAGUAAUGAAGGCUAAGAAAUGUCAUUCCUAGCACUUCCUCCAGAAAAUAUGGAGUAGACACACCACAAAGGGUUGGAAAAAAACAAGGAAUGAGAAUUAGGAGGACAAACAAAGUCUUCUAUGGUGAAUGAGUAAAGAAAAACAAAAUUUCAAAAGUCGCUCAAAUCAUAAAGUUCUAAGAAGAAAAGAUGAAAACAUGAGUGUAGCAGAGACUGCUAGUUUUAGCCCAAUAUCCAUUCAUUUUUGCCAGUGAAACUCUGUGAAUUUUAGAUGGACUUGUGACCACCUUUCGGGAUACUGUAUUUUUUGAAUUGCCUCAAAGGACAAUGUGACCAUGUGACUGUAUUUUGGUCAACAGUAGAGGGAUAGAAUAUGUUAUUGCAAAGAGGCUUUUCUUCACCUUCUCGCAGGCUGGAACAUGAACACAGAGAGGUGAUCCAGAUUUGAUCACCUGAAUGAAGACAACAGCAAGGAAAUGGUAGGAUAAUAAAUAAGGAGAAAUCUAGCUUUAUGGACAACUUCAUAAAGCUGACCCUGGAACAUUGACUACCUCUGAACUUACAUGAGGGAGAGAAAUGUUUAUCUUUUAUAAACCUAUUACUUUUUUGAUUUCUACAUUAAAGAAACUUAGUCUAUCCUAAGUAAAGCAAGAAAUAUUCUGUAAAUCACUUUGGAGAAGAAUUUCCAAAAGGAAAGAGAUCAAUUCUCCCUGUUUCCUGUGCUGGUCCCAAACUUCUUGGCUCAAGUGAUCCUCCUGCCUCAAUCUCCUAAGAAGCUGGGACUAUAGGCAUACUGUGCACUUCUUGAUGUAAUUAUUUUCAGUGAUUGUGUGUGUGUUCACAAUAUGAUUUUUAGUGUAAUAUUUUAUUAUAAUCAUUCUCCAUUUUAUUUGCUCUCAACCAGUAUUGUAGACAUAAUUCUAUGAUUGCCUCAAAGAGUCCACUUCCUGGUGCAUGGUCCCUAUGUAAUUACUGGAAUUUGACAAUACAAUGGGCUGGUCACACCAGCCAUUAGGUUAUGUUAUAUGGUAUAGGGACUUUAAGAAAGGGAGGUUAUUUUGGGUACACCUGAACUCUCAGGUGAGCCUUCAAAAGGCUCUUCCUAGAGAAGAACCUCAAAGCAUAAGAGAGAUUACAUGAUGAAGAUUCUGCAUUGCUGGCUUUGAAGAUGGAGGGGCCACAUGAGAAGGAAUGGGACCAGUCUGUAGAAUUCAAUAAUGACCCUCAGCUGCUAGCCUGCAAGUAACUGGAAACCUCAAUUCUACAACUGCAAGGAACUGAAUUUGGCCAAUGAUCUGAAUGAGCUGGAGAAAAAAUAAUUCCUUUGAGUCUUCAAAAAUAAAUAAUAUCUGGUGGACAACUUGAUUUUAGCCUUGUAAGACUGUCAUCAAAGAACUCAGCUGUACUUUUCUUUAGACAUCUGGUUCGCAGAACUCAUCCUAAUAAAUGGAUGUUGUUUUAAGCCAUGUAAGCCUCCACGUUUGUGAAAUUUGUUAGAAAGCAAUGGAAAACUAAUACAACUAGUAUUUUUACACUGGAUCUUGUUAACCUGAAAUUAAUUUCAAAUUUCAUUAUAUGCUUAUUGGGCAUGCUAAGAAGAUGAUCAUGUCGUUAAAUAUUCUAGUGAAUAGAUGUCGCUCUUUCCUGUUUUCUCAAAUCACAUUUUAAAAUUAUCAUAAUCACAUUAAUGAGA